Molecule: long non-coding RNA, 748 nt
Filed under: Brassica napus (rape)
Lineage: Eukaryota; Viridiplantae; Streptophyta; Magnoliopsida; Brassicales; Brassicaceae
Description: long non-coding RNA (BNAP_LNC010056)
Source: RNAcentral
GUUCCGGGUUCCAGCUACUAUUCAUCUCUGGGUUCUGGGUUCCAGCUUCCAGCUUCCAGGUUCCGGAUCCUAGGUCCCGGAUCCCAGGUCCUGGAUCCCAGGUCCCGAAUCCCAGGUCCCGGAUCCACGUCCCGGGUCUACGGCUACCCACCUUACAUAGAGGUGAAAUCCAAUGGCUCCGCGAAAAAGCAAGCUCCGACCACCUUACAACCGCUUUUCCCGGCAACAAACCCUGAUAUACCUCUAAAGGAAAUUAAGGCCUUUUACCCCCUACAAACUCCCGGGGAAACUCAGGAUCCGUGUCUCUCCAAGUCUCCAAGGCUGCACCCCUCGAAAAGUUGUAAGAAACGGAAUUUCCCAGUGAAGGACUCAAGAAUACGCUAGUCUACAAGGAAGUAGGUCCAAGGCACGUACCUUCCUGAAUUUCUACGAAAGAGAUAACUGAGAGAAAAGAGGGGGCAAACGAGUUAACACUCAACCCAAGGAGCAAACAUGCGUCAACAAAUCUUGUUGGCUUGCCCACUAAAGGAGGAUUCAAGACAAAGCGACGGGUCAUUUAGUGUCAUCCAAGAAACGCUGAGAGUGGCUCACCCAAGAGGGAGCAGAGAGCGGGCAGAAGAAGUUACUAAACGACAUCGACAAAAAGAGAAUAUCUACAGAUCCUCAUGUGCCAGAGCACUAGUCCAAAGGAGCCUCCAGGUUCUCAAGGAUAAAUCUACUGGUCCUCCAAGGGAAGUAGCCUCCACGC